This 681-nucleotide ribosomal RNA is filed under the name Triticum aestivum (bread wheat). Its description in RNAcentral is "partial small subunit ribosomal RNA". Lineage: Eukaryota; Viridiplantae; Streptophyta; Magnoliopsida; Poales; Poaceae. The record is from RNAcentral.
AUGGUCAAGCUGGUCGUGACUUUGUGGGCAAUAUGGUCGGCAAGGCGUAAAGCUAUCCAUGAGGGAGUCCUAAAGAGCCCUCACGCUACACAUGCAUUUGUGACUAGCUUCAUCUCUGAACUAGAAUCUCUGAAGACCCCAGCGUAUGUUGUACAAAAUGCGGCUACGACUAGCUCGGGAGCAAGGCGUACUAGUACGUGGUUGGCCCCUGCUGUGGGAGUGGCGAAGAUACAAGUUGAUGGAGGCCAGGCGAGGAACGGUAGGAGCGGUGCAGCUGCGGCACUCUGCCGAGACCACAAUGGCCUCUAUUUGGGGUCGUCGGCUAUGUCCUUUUCAGAUAUUUCUAACCCAGCGACGCUAGAGGCGCUAGCUUGUCGAGAAGCGCUGAAUCAAGCGCUGGAUUUGUCACUUGAGCACAUUAUCAUCGCAUGUGAUAAUAAGACUGUGGUGGCGGAUAUCAAUAACGGCACUGAAGGUCCAUACAGUGCUAUCAUCAAGGAGAUUCUUGCCCGGGCGAGGAGUUUCAGAAGCUGUGAGUUUAUUUUUGAAGGACGGGCAGGGAACAUUGAUGCUCAUAAUUUAGCUAAAUUUUCAUCUUCUUUAGAUGUUGGUCGCCAUUUGUGGCUGAGAGUACCCCAUGACCAGUUUGUAAUUCCUGUAAACCGUUCGGCUUCGCCAUAA